Otolemur garnettii (small-eared galago) is the source of this 100-nucleotide unclassified non-coding RNA. It matches the Rfam family "Y RNA". From Rfam's summary of the family: Y RNAs are components of the Ro ribonucleoprotein particle (Ro RNP), in association with Ro60 and La proteins. The record is from Ensembl. NCBI's taxonomy places the organism in Eukaryota, Metazoa, Chordata, Mammalia, Primates, Galagidae.
GUCUGGUCCGAGUGCAGUGAUGUUUACAACUAACUGGUCACAACCAAUUACAAAUUUCUUUGUUCUUUCUCCACUCCUACUGCUUCAUGUGACUAGUUGG